Molecule: long non-coding RNA, 1295 nt
Organism: Acipenser ruthenus (sterlet)
Lineage: Eukaryota; Metazoa; Chordata; Actinopteri; Acipenseriformes; Acipenseridae
Exons: 4
Source: RefSeq, a predicted model, not a curated record
UCUUAAUGGCAUCCUCCCUUGCAAUGUCCAUAUGUUAACUAGCAACUCUGCAGAAGUUCUUUCGAACUUAUAUCCAGAUGAUGUCCCUCCCACUUUGGCAAUACUGGAUUCCGAAAUUGCAAAAUGGAAGGCUAAAUGGGCAAAUAUGUCACCAGUUCCUUGGAGUGCACUAGAUGCUCUAAAUAACUGCAACAAGCAUUUCUUUCCCAACAUUUUUAAACUUCUGCGUAUUUUUGCAACACUGCCAGUGACUACAGCUCAUGUGGAAAGAAGCUUCUCCUGACUCUCCAGAAUUAAAACAAAUGCAAGGAGUACAAUGGCAGAAUCAAGACUGAAUGGACUGACUUUGCUGUCUGAACAUAGAGACAUUAAAAUAUCCCCUGAUCAAGUAAUUGACAAGUUUGCAACAAAAAAACAGACGACUGGACCUGGUGAUCUAAACAACAAGGAUCCAAGCCAUACAAGAUGCUGGAAGAAAUCAUGACAAAAAAAAUCUUGAUUAAGACCCUCCGAAAUUGUCACCUGCUCAUCAGACAUACACACUGGAGGUUUUUCUUACCUUUGUGAACCACUUUGCCUCAAAACAACAACACUAUUUCUAUGGGGCUAUGCAAACCAGAAUGUUUCUAGCGGCUCUCCAUUUCAACGAGAAUGGUGAUCUUGAACAAUGAAGAUCCAAAACCGGUGAGCUGCGAUGGACAGUGUGCUAUCGCAAAGCAAAGAAAAGAGAGACUGCAGUUGCAAAAGCAGUCAAGAAAGAUCUUUCAUAAGGAUGGAGAUGGAGAUUAGAUAAAGGGGCAUUCAGAACAGAAAAUAGGAGGCACUUUUUUACACAGAGAAUUGUGGGAGUCUGGAACCAACUCCCCAGUAAUGUUGUUGAAGCUGACACCCUGGGAUCCUUCAAGAAGCUGCUUAAUGAGAUUCUGGGAUAAAUAAGCUACUAACAACCAAACAAGCAAGAUGGGCCGAAUGGCCUCCUCUCAUUUGUAAACGUUCUUAUGUUCUUAACUUCACUUUCAACAAUAAAACGGUAAUGUUUAGAAACACAAAAAAGAAAAAAAGAAAGGAAAACAAUAGAUUGCAGUGUAACCAGGCUUCCCUUCACACCAGGAAAUCACACAACAGCAUGCCAGUGCACUCUCUGUAUCCUCUUUGAGAGGAGUGGAAUGCAACCUGUAUCUGCUUCCAGUAAUUAGCUGGCAUUGGUCUCACCUGGUCUUCAUGUGAUUGAAUUAAUUCUCGUUACAGAGUCAACCUCCUACAUUCGUAAUAAACAUGAGAUGUGGCAAGUCUAG